This 76-nucleotide transfer RNA is filed under the name Caudoviricetes sp. Its description in RNAcentral is "tRNA-Gln". It matches the Rfam family "tRNA". Rfam says of the family: Transfer RNA (tRNA) molecules are approximately 80 nucleotides in length. Their secondary structure includes four short double-helical elements and three loops (D, anti-codon, and T loops). Further hydrogen bonds mediate the characteristic L-shaped molecular structure. tRNAs have two regions of fundamental functional importance: the anti-codon, which is responsible for specific mRNA codon recognition, and the 3' end, to which the tRNAs corresponding amino acid is attached (by aminoacyl-tRNA synthetases). tRNAs cope with the degeneracy of the genetic code in two manners: having more than one tRNA (with a specific anti-codon) for a particular amino acid; and 'wobble' base-pairing, i.e. permitting non-standard base-pairing at the 3rd anti-codon position. The record is from RNAcentral. Lineage: Duplodnaviria; Heunggongvirae; Uroviricota; Caudoviricetes.
UGCUGUAUAGCGUAGAUGGUAGCGCGUGUGACUUUGAAUCACAAGGUAACAGUUCGAUUCUGUUUACAGCUGUCAA